GCGGCAGGCUAACACAUGCAAGUCGAGGGGCAGCACGGGUAGCAAUACCUGGUGGCGACCGGCGGAAGGGUGCGUAACGCGUGAGCAACAUACCCUAUACAGGGGGAUAAGCCAGGGAAACUUGGUCUAAUAUCCCAUAGGAAAUAGAUAAGGCAUCUUAUUUAUUUUAAAGCUUCGGUGGUAUAGGAUUGGCUCGCGUGACAUUAGCUAGAUGGAGGGGUAACGGCCCACCAUGGCAAUGAUGUCUAGGGGUUCUGAGAGGAAGAUCCCCCACACUGGGACUGAGACACGGCCCAGACUCCUACGGGAGGCAGCAGUGAGGAAUAUUGGACAAUGGAUGGAAAUCUGAUCCAGCCAUGCCGCGUGCAGGAAAGACGGCCCUAUGGGUUGUAAACUGCUUUUAUACGGGAGCAAUAAGGUCUAUGCAUAGAUUGAUGAGAGUACCGUAUGAAUAAGCAUCGGCUAACUCCGUGCCAGCCGCCGC
Molecule: ribosomal RNA, 484 nt
Filed under: uncultured bacterium
Lineage: Bacteria
Description: bacterial SSU rRNA
Rfam family: Bacterial small subunit ribosomal RNA
Source: RNAcentral